Mytilus trossulus (common blue mussel) is the source of this 376-nucleotide long non-coding RNA. RefSeq lists it as uncharacterized. NCBI's taxonomy places the organism in Eukaryota, Metazoa, Mollusca, Bivalvia, Mytilida, Mytilidae. The transcript is spliced from 3 exons. The record is from RefSeq and is a predicted model, not a curated record.
AUAUUAUGUCUAGGAGCCUCUAGAUCAUAUGAUAAACCUAUGGAAAAGUCCUUUGUGGAAAAAAGAUCACAGGUUUUAAUUCGGAUGACGAGAUUGGCAACAGCAUUAACUUAAGUCGUAAUGACUUUCACUGGCACAACACAACUAUUUCAAAACUGAUCUUUCAUGAAGAAUGGUGGGCAGUCAAAAGAGUUGAUAGUUAGAAUGGUACAAAAGUAUUGUCAAAUUUGUUCAUGACUUAAUUUUACUUAUUACUCAAUGUGGCAUGUUAGUUCUUUACCUCAUAUCCUACUUAUAAGUCAAUAUACCUGUAAUAAGUACUAUAAGGUUAAAUGGUAAUUAAGACACUUUAUAAAAUUUAUACCAUAACAAUGUU